UCCCUCCUGCUGAACUCUUCCUACCCGGGCUCUGAACACAUCCCUGAGCUGCAGAGCUGACGUCUGGGUGACAGUGAAACGGGGUAUUCAUUUGUACCAAAACAAACAAACAAACAAACAAAACCUGGAAUGACGGUGUGUGGAUUUCUUGUGUGCUUAUUCGUAGGAUUGAGAAAGGGUGAGGCUAAGGUCCCGAGCCUUCGUGAAGCAAUGGAGAAAGUGCCGUCCCAAGGCUCAGUUCCACACGGCGCUGUGAGGCUGAAGGGGCUCACUGGAAGUUCCCCUCACAGGACGCCACCUCACCUGAAACCCUCUUUUUCUGCUACCAUCCAAGGGACAAGAUCUCCUGAGUUGUCGAAGACUCACUCCGGAAGAAAACCCUCUCAGGCAGUUACUGAGGGACUGUGGUCUGGACUAGAACGUGUUUUUCUCAGUGACACCUCUAGAGGGCAGCACUCAACGGAGUCCCACAGACACCUCCCUGCAUUUCCUCCUCAGACACUGGGUGGAUGAUAUGGUAACACUGGGGAAUGCUUGGGUGUUCUCCUGGAAGCUCCUUAUUUUAAUCACCUGUUUACUUGUCUCCAUUCUUAUAGAUAUGUAGGCUACCCGAGGGCAGAGACUGAGUCUGUCUUGUUCACUGUCUACCUCCAGAACCUCACACAGAAUCUGGCACUUAGUAGGUGCACAACAAAAUAAUCAUUGAAUUAGUAUACUGAGUCUUUAACAGAGUCUCUUUCUGUUUAUUGAGUUGACACGAUGUAUCCAAAAGCAGCUGAAUGCACAACUCAAACUGUCAUCCAAGCACACAAAGAAGGCAUUGAUAAAAGCUAUGCUGGUUGUAAGUGGAGAAGAGACUAGAGCAAAGUGAAGCUGCAGGUAGGAAGCCUGUGUCUGUCUGCUCCCUCAACCACCUCUGCCAACUGUGGGGAAGCUCAUUCUAACAGGAGAGCUCAAAUUGCAGAAGCCCAGGUGUCCGAGGGGAGAUUAACACUAUAGGCCCAGUAUGUGGGUGGAGCUAGAAAGCACUCCUCAUCUAAGAACUCUGGCACAAUGACACACCACGGAAAAAUGAUUUUGCAUAUAGUAGUUACUUAUAUGUAAUUCAAAUAUACCAUCUGUAUCUUGGCAGCCCAGGCCUGAGUGGCACUGAGGGAACUGAGGGAAUGUUCAUGACGGUGGCCCCCACAGAGCCUUAAGGAGCAGAGUGAGGAUGAGCCAGGAGCACAUGCACUGUAAGGGACAACAGGGUGGCCUGAGAGCAGAGGGUGGGUCUGUUUGCUCUUCAAUAUUUCCUCACCUCCUAGAAAACUGAGGAAUCCACAGCAGACAGAAUCAUUGUUUUGAAAAUACAGGAGAAAGAACGCUUUUAUCUGAAACAAAAUGACUGUCCAGGAAAAGAAGAAAAUGUCUUUAUGCCAUUACCCAGAAUGGUAACUCUUCUCCUGUGCAUACCUGAAAAUGUCAGGAGCGCAUUUCUACAUUGACAUUUUAAUAGAUUGUAUGACAAAUGUUACAGGAUAAUUCUUGGUAAAAGUCAAACCAUAUAACCUACAUU
RNAcentral lists this long non-coding RNA (1558 nucleotides) under Homo sapiens (human). RNAcentral's name for it is "HSALNT0334668". Lineage: Eukaryota; Metazoa; Chordata; Mammalia; Primates; Hominidae. The record is from RNAcentral.